This 403-nucleotide ribosomal RNA is filed under the name uncultured bacterium. RNAcentral's name for it is "bacterial SSU rRNA". It matches the Rfam family "Bacterial small subunit ribosomal RNA", at positions 355 to 774 of the family's 1533-position model. The record is from RNAcentral.
UGGGGAAUAUUGGGCAAUGGAGGAAACUCUGACCCAGCAACGCCGCGUGAAGGACGAAGGUUUUCGGAUUGUAAACUUCUGUCGCGAGGGACGAAGAAUGACGGUACCUCGUAAGAAAGCCCCGGCAAACUACGUGCCAGCAGCCGCGGUAAUACGUAGGGGGCAAGCGUUGUCCGGAAUGACUGGGCGUAAAGGGAGUGUAGGCGGUCUUUUAAGUUACAUGUGGAAUCCCACGGCUUAACCGUGGAACUGCAUGUAAAACUGGAGGACUGGAGUGCAGGAGAGGCAAGUGGAAUUCCCUGUGUAGCGGUGAAAUGCGUAGAUAUCACGCAGAACUCCGAUUGCGAAGGCAGCUUACUAUCCUACACCUGACGCUGAAGCACGAAAGCGUGGGUAUCGAACA